GCUGGCGGCAUGCCUUACACAUGCAAGUCGAACGGCAGCACGGAGCUUGCUCUGGNUGGCGAGUGGCGAACGGAUGAGUAAUAUAUCGGAACGUACCCUAGAGUGGGGGAUAACGUAGCGAAAGUUACGCUAAUACCGCAUACGAUCUAAGGAUGAAAGUGGGGGAUCCGCAAGAACCUCAUGCUCGUGGAGCGGCCGAUAUCUGAUUAGCUAGUUGGUAGGGUAAAAGCCUACCAAGGCAUCGAUCAGUAGCUGGUCUGAGAGGACGACCAGCCACACUGGAACUGAGACACGGUCCAGACUCCUACGGGAGGCAGCAGUGGGGAAUUUUGGACAAUGGGCGAAAGCCUGAUCCAGCAAUGCCGCGUGAGUGAAGAAGGCCUUCGGGUUGUAAAGCUCUUUUGUCAGGGAAGAAACGGUGAAAGCUAAUAUCUUUUGCUAAUGACGGUACCUGAAGAAUAAGCACCGGCUAACUACGUGCCAGCAGCCGCGGUAAUACGUAGGGUGCAGCGUUAAUCGGAAUUACUGGGCGUAAGCGUGCGCAGGCGGUUUGUAGUCUGAUUUGAAUCCCCGGGCUCACCUGGGAUUGCUUGGAAACUGCAGGCUAAAUCUGCGAAGGGGGU
This 623-nucleotide ribosomal RNA is filed under the name uncultured bacterium. RNAcentral describes it as "bacterial SSU rRNA". It matches the Rfam family "Bacterial small subunit ribosomal RNA", at positions 35 to 659 of the family's 1533-position model. The record is from RNAcentral.